This 468-nucleotide ribosomal RNA is filed under the name uncultured bacterium. Its description in RNAcentral is "partial 16S ribosomal RNA". It matches the Rfam family "Bacterial small subunit ribosomal RNA", at positions 28 to 507 of the family's 1533-position model. The record is from RNAcentral.
GACGAACGCUGGCGGCGUGCUUAACACAUGCAAGUCGAACGAAAAGGCCCUGCUUUUGUGGGGUGCUCGAGUGGCGAACGGGUGAGUAACACGUGAGUAACCUGACCUUGACUUUGGGAUAACUUCUGGAAACUGGGGCUAAUACCGGAUAGGAGCUUUUGCUGCAUGGUGGGGGUCGGAAAGUUUCGGCGGUUGGGGAUGGACUCGCGGCUUAUCAGCUUGUUGGUGGGGUAGUGGCUUACCAAGGCUUUGACGGGUAGCCGGCCUGAGAGGGUGACCGGCCACAUUGGGACUGAGAUACGGCCCAGACUCCUACGGGAGGCAGCAGUGGGGAAUAUUGCACAAUGGGCGGAAGCCUGAUGCAGCAACGCCGCGUGCGGGAUGACGGCCUUCGGGUUGUAAACCGCUUUCGCCUGUGACGAAGCGUGAGUGACGGUAAUGGGUAAAGAAGCACCGGCUAACUACGUG